Molecule: unclassified non-coding RNA, 144 nt
Filed under: uncultured fungus
Lineage: Eukaryota; Fungi
Description: sequence contains ITS1, 5.8S rRNA gene
Source: RNAcentral
CCAGAGAUGGCGGGCCCCCGCGCCCCCGUCCCCAACCCUUUGUCGACCUGACCACUUUUGCCUCGGGGGUGGAGCGGCCUCCGCCGCCCCCGGUGGACCAACCAACUCUGUCUCUUUGCGUCGGAGUCUUUGAUGAAUAUAUGA